GCCGGGCACAGUGGCGUGAGCCUGUAGUCCCAGCUACUCAGGAGACUGAGGCAGGAAGAUCACUUGAGUCCAAGAGUUCUGGGUUGUAGUACACGGUGUCAGUGGGGUGUCCGCACUAAGCUCAGUGUCAUUAUGGUGAUCUCCCUGGGAGCAGGGUGACCACCAGGUUGCCUAAGGAGGGCUGAAAUGGCCCAGAUCAGAAACAGAGCAGGUCAAAACUCCUGUGCCGAUUAGUAGUGGGAUCGCUCCUGUAAAUAGCCACAGCACUCCAGCCUGGGCAACAUAAUGAGACCCUGUCUCU
Molecule: unclassified non-coding RNA, 301 nt
Organism: Aotus nancymaae (Ma's night monkey)
Lineage: Eukaryota; Metazoa; Chordata; Mammalia; Primates; Aotidae
Rfam family: Metazoan signal recognition particle RNA
About the family: The signal recognition particle (SRP) is a universally conserved ribonucleoprotein. It is involved in the co-translational targeting of proteins to membranes.
Source: Ensembl